RNAcentral lists this ribosomal RNA (253 nucleotides) under uncultured bacterium. RNAcentral's name for it is "partial 16S ribosomal RNA". It matches the Rfam family "Bacterial small subunit ribosomal RNA", at positions 524 to 776 of the family's 1533-position model. The record is from RNAcentral.
UACGAAGGGGGCUAGCGUUGCUCGGAAUUACUGGGCGUAAAGCGCACGUAGGCGGAUUUGUAAGUCAGGGGUGAAAUCCCGGGGCUCAACCUCGGAACUGCCUUUGAUACUGCAAGUCUUGAGUCCGGAAGAGGUGAGUGGAAUUCCUAGUGUAGAGGUGAAAUUCGUAGAUAUUAGGAAGAACACCAGUGGCGAAGGCGGCUCACUGGUCCGGUACUGACGCUGAGGUGCGAAAGCGUGGGGAGCAAACAGG